CACUGUUUCGUGGGCUUUUGAAUCACUCUCGCGGUACUUCAAUGUCUGCGCAUGUCUGCAUGAAGUCAACCACUCAUGCUUGUAACAGGGGUAGCGUUUGUGCGCUCAGUGAUUUAGGGUGUUACAAAACAAGAUUAUUACAUUAAUAUUAUCAAUUAGUAUUGUAAUAAAGCUUUUUAAAUGUUUGUUAAUGAUUAAGUGUCAUUAACAAACUCUGAUUUAAAACAUCAAUAUAUAUGCUACGUAAAUUUUCCUUAAAUCAUCAAAACAUCCAAAUUCAAUGAAACAAAAACAACAACAAUGUAUUUAAGAUGAGACACAUUCAGCAUUUAUAAUUUUUUCUCUCUUUUUUGUUUGACUUUGUUUUCUAAAGUAGCCUGUUAACAGUAGACCAAAGGUAUGAUGAUCAAUUAUAAAUGCAAUAUGGUUGAAAGGUCAGUAAACAAACAACAAAAAGGUAAUUUCUUAAUAGAAUGUCUAUACAUUUUUUGCUUUUGUUACAUAUUUCAUACAUCAAAAUCAUUAAACGUUAAUAAUUAUGUAUUCCAACUUGUUGCAGCUUGACAAAAAUGUAGCUUGAAGGAGAAGGGACAGCUGAGUAACAAAGUCCUGGUACGCAGACGACGAUACUAUUACACUGACAAGAGUGUAAUGAUGAUGGAGACACAAGCCAGAGAAAGUGGGGACCAAACACCAGGCCAGAAUUCUGCAUGAGUCAGAUCCAGUGGGUGCAGAUCAUCAUACAUAUGGUUCAAGUGUGGAUCCACCUAAUAUUCAAGCUCCAGUGGGCAUCCUUUAUCCAUCCAGACCCUCAUACAGAUGGUUGGAGUUUUGAUUCACCUAAAGUACCAUGCAAGAGCACUCAUUUUCCCUCUUGAGACCAUGGUGUGAC
Molecule: non-coding RNA, 892 nt
Organism: Paramisgurnus dabryanus
Lineage: Eukaryota; Metazoa; Chordata; Actinopteri; Cypriniformes; Cobitidae
Source: RefSeq, a predicted model, not a curated record